Molecule: ribosomal RNA, 305 nt
Filed under: uncultured bacterium
Lineage: Bacteria
Description: bacterial SSU rRNA
Rfam family: Bacterial small subunit ribosomal RNA
Source: RNAcentral
GCCCCCUACGGGACGCAGCAGUGGGGAAUAUUGCACAAUGGGGGAAACCCUGAUGCAGCGACGCCGCGUGAGCGAAGAAGUAUUUCGGUAUGUAAAGCUCUAUCAGCAGGGAAGAAAAAUGACGGUACCUGAGUAAGAAGCACCGGCUAAAUACGUGCCAGCAGCCGCGGUAAUACGUAUGGUGCAAGCGUUAUCCGGAUUUACUGGGUGUAAAGGGAGCGCAGGCGGUGCGGCAAGUCUGAUGUGAAAGCACGGGGCUCAACCCCGGGACUGCAUUGGAAACUACCGAACUAGGGUGUAGGUGG